RNAcentral lists this ribosomal RNA (2040 nucleotides) under Triticum aestivum (bread wheat). RNAcentral's name for it is "partial small subunit ribosomal RNA". The record is from RNAcentral. Lineage: Eukaryota; Viridiplantae; Streptophyta; Magnoliopsida; Poales; Poaceae.
CGUUUUGGGGUUAUUUCAGGCCCAUGGCUUGGAACGGAAGGCUCCCUAGCCUCUUCUCCCCUGCGUGAGCCGCCGCCUCCGUCCCACCAGCACCAGGUGCCCGUCUCCGCCGGAUUCGCCGCACACCAGGCUGUCCUCUCCGGAACCCUAGUCGACCGCUGCUUGUCCCAGCCUGAUCCGCCGCGCAGGAGGCAGUCUCCCUGACCUCGGGCACGAGCGCUGCGUUCCCGUGCCCGCCCGCCGCCGGAUCCCCUACCGAGAGCGCGCGCCUUCGCUGGCGCAGGAGGCCUCCACCGCGCUCGCAAGCCUCCCCAAUUGACGGAGCCCUUCCUCGACCUCGACGGCCGUCCCCCCUCCGCGCGCGCCCGACCUUAAGCAUCAUGGCAAAGGUAGAGGCUCGUGUGGAGACGGUCAAAUCAAUGGUCAUUGUUGCAGAGAUUGAAGGUCCUGGAUACUGCAGUGGGUUUGUCGCAUUCACUGAAAAGCAAUAUGGUACCCAUAUUGUAACUGAUGAUAAUUUUGUCAAGGGACGUGAGCGCAGCUUAAAGGUUUUCUUUUUUGACAACACUGUGCUGCGAGCAUCAAUUAUUCACAGAGGGGGCGGUUUUUGUUCCCUGAGGACAAAGUUUCAUUCCACAUGUGAGCAAAUUCAGUUGAUCAAAGGGAAUACUAUCCCCUCACCUGCGCUCCUCUUCCCACCAUCCUCAUCAACUACUUUCUAUCAUCUUCCGAGUUUUGUUACUCUGGAAUCUGCCGAGUCAUAUCCUCUCAACCUCGAAUCCACUCGCAUUCUUCCCACUGAUCAGGUUCCUACUUUAGCACGCAUGUUCGUGGUAGAUUGCCACUACACUGAAGAAACCUCUGACCGUGUUGACAGGUUAUCUUCUGCUCCAGUAUAUACCUUGAGCGGAAGCGUUGUGGGCAUAGUCGUAGGACGUUUCCGUGACUCUACUUGGAAGAAGCUAGCAUUGUCUGCAAAACAUGUCUCGACAUUGAUAGAUUCACUCAUUGCAGUAUCUAGAAACAAGAAAACAAGAGAUGGAAAUGGCAGUUCUGGAAACAAGGAAAAGAGAGAUGGAGAUGGCAGUUAUAAGGAUGAGUUUGCUGGUAACAAGAGAAGCAAGGGUGGAGAUGGCAAUUACAAGAAGUUGGCUGGAAACAAGAACAGCUCUAACAGCAGUUCCAAGGACAAGGCGAAUAAGGGGGCUUGGCACAAGAGCAGUUUCAAGGGCAAGUUGGGUGGAUGUGAGACCAGUUGCAAUGUGAAGACAAGGGGGAGAAGAGCUGGAGACAAGGGUAAGAAGUCGGAUGCUAGCAAAUGGUAAGAGCAGUAAUGGAAGAAACGAGUGUUGCCUUUGCUUUUUCGAAUGUCUGUUCUUGCUGAUUGGUAGCAUUCCACUCAGAACAUUUGACAUCUUGAGCAUCUGCAACGAUUUUCUGUUACAAAAUGACUGAAGAUCAUUAGAGGUGUAUGUUUGAUAGUGUUGUGUAAGCAAGUUUAAUCCCUUUGUAAUAAUUCAUGUUCUCUCUCGGUCGCUCUACUUCUGGUAGGUAGCUACUAGAUUUCUGAAUAUCUCUGAUGUUCUUUGAGAUUAGCCGGCUGGUAGCUGUGAGCAGGCGACAGUUUUGAAUUGAUUGAAUCGCAUUGCACAAUUUAUCGAAGUGAUUCACGUCCUUCUGAAUUUUAUGCAGGCUCCAUGGGUCGAGAGUGGUGAAACAUGGUUUUGAAUUUUUGUAUUACUAUAUUUUCUAGAUUCACCUACAGGUCAUUUAUUGAGCUAUUCCUUGAAGAAAGAACUUAUUGUGCUAUUUAACAUUUUUUUCUCCCAGCAUAACAGGUGCUCCUUCAAAAAUAGAGCAUUUGCUCAAAAACAAAUUCUUAAGAAAAGCAGAUCUUUUCCAUCUGCCACUGUACAGGCAUAUAUGAGCUGGGAUCUGAUCAAUUUGAAGCGAAUUUGGGAUGGGUCCGGCCUGUCGGAUUUGAUGUGGCGGACUCGUAUGGGCGUCCUCAUGUGUGUCCCACAUAUGAGCUUGGUUUGA